Molecule: long non-coding RNA, 16324 nt
Filed under: Lynx pardinus (Iberian lynx)
Lineage: Eukaryota; Metazoa; Chordata; Mammalia; Carnivora; Felidae
Source: RNAcentral
AAGCCACACAGAGGUUCUCCGGCUUCUUUUCCUCCCUUUCUCUGCUUCAGCAUCACCGCAUGCGGUCACCAUGUCGGACCCAGAAGCUGACACCUUGCGAAGCACCUUUCCCUCUUACAUGGCGGAAGGCGAGCGGUUGUAUCUGUGCGGGGAGUUCUCUAAAGCUGCCCAGAGCUUCAGCAACGUGAGUCGCGCUCUGAACGUACCGAUUACCCAAUCACCCCUUCUAAUUCCCGGUAACACUGAGGUCCCCGUGGUGCUGGAGGACCCUAUUGUUUCUAUGAUUCACUUGUGCCUAAUUGACGCACUACUGGCACCGCUCGGCCAUUUUCUACCAAUUCUCACUUGCCUUCUGCUGUUAAUAACCAUUCUCUGCAUUAACAGUGACUUCUACUUUUUGCUGAAUGUUUUGUGACUCACUGGCCUCUUUCCACAGAGCAGCCUUUAUUACCCUUGGAGGCUGCAUAUACAAGUGGUGCAAUCUCUGGCACACAGUUGCUCACAGAUGGUCAGUAUAGCACUAACAUUGUACAUAACCUUAGUAUGACUCGAUCCACCCCGUCCUACGGUGCUAAGCACAGUAUGACCCUAUGAGGGAGGUUCUGUUAUGAAUCCAUUUUAUGGACGAGGAAACUGAUGUAGAAGUGGAUUACGUGUCCGAGAUUCAUUGAACUGGCAAGAGAAAGGAUUCAAACCCAGGCAGUCAGAUUCCAGGGCUAGAUACUAACCACCAUACAUACUCCCUCACAAGUAAGCUGUUAGAUGUUCUUACCACAAUUUCUUUUACAACCAAUCCUUCUCAUUCCAAAGGGAGUGGCAGGAUAGCCCUCUAACCAUCCCAAGACUCCCCCUAAAGUCAAGCUUCUCCACUGCUACCCAAAGUCUUUUGUCCCUUUGGCUCACCAACCACACCCUAAAACCAGAACUGGUUGGCCAGAUGGGUUAAGGGUUGAGUUCAGGAUCCCUGCCUCCACCCAGUCUCCUCUUUCAGGAUCGCAUUCCAUCCUAGAGAAGCUCAGGCAGAGUGAAAAGAACACCCUGAGGGAAAAUAGCUUUGGUUGAGAAGUAGCCUUCUUCUGGAAAAGCCAGUAGCUGCUUCCUGUAAAAAGUAGGUCUUAGAAAGGUGUGAGUGGAGUCUGAUGCCUCAGGAAGGACAGUACGUCAAAGCACCUAUGAUGAUUUCAGACAGAAGAGAGGACAUGGGGAGAAGUGUUCCAUUCUCGCCUUACUCCCCAAAUCACAGUUUCAGUUUUGCUAGCAUUUUCAUCUUGAUCUCCUGAAAUAGUGAUUCCUUCUCAAUAAGGGAGUAAGGAAGAGAGAGUUGGGGAAUGGAUGCCUCAAGUGGCAGGUGUCCUAAAACCCAUUUCGUUAGCCUUCAGAGUGCUUAGCCUCACAAAUGUAUUUUGAGUGUAGUGCAGCCUUUUGAGGUUUGUAGGUGAACUCAGUAGGCGCAAAAAAAUCCUAAGCUUCUGUCACCUGAGUGGACCGGAGGAAUCCGAGACGUUUUGGGAAAAUUCCAUAUAUCCACAGAGUGGUAUCUGCAUCUCUCUCAGCCAGUCGCUUCCACAACAGCUAGUGAUUUGACCUUGUCUGAGAGGAGCUACGUGCAGACAGUCAAGUUGGCGGAGCGAAGAUCAGUGUUAUGCUGCUUCUGGUCUGAUCAGAUCCAGAGACAUGUUUGCCGGCCUGAGGAAUCCCCCGGAAGCCCUGGCAGGAGGGUUUGGGAGGCCCUUUCCGGUCCCGCUUCUACCUCGUGCUGCCUGGUGCCUGUCGACCUGGGUGGUUCGUUUCUUAGGCUCUUCACCUUCAGAAUGGAGAUAAGAACUGCCUGGUUGCCCGGUCCAAAUGCUUCCUGAAGAUGGGAGAGUUGGAGAAAUCCCUGCAGGAUGCUGAGGCUUCGCUCCAGGGUGACCCGACUUUCUGUAAGGUGACUUUACGUAUGGGUGGGAGGACUUAGGCUAACCAGAUUGCCUAGGGUUUGAUGCCGUUUUCUCGCCUUAGGUCACUUAUCUAGCUCCCUGCCCCUGCAUCCCAACCUGGAUCCUCAACCCAGGACCCUCUCUGUUCCACCACGCCGAAGUCCCAUAAAGCCUUGUCUGUCCACCUCAAUUUGACUUCUCUCGUUUCAGGGGAUUUUACAAAAGGCUGAGACCUUGUACACCAUGGGGGACUUUGAGUUUGCGCUGGUGUUCUAUCAUCGAGGCUACAAGCUGCGGCCUGACCAAGAAUUCAAAGUUGGAAUUCAGAAAGCCCAGGAAGCCAUCAACAACUCAGUGGGAAGUGAGUGACCAUUGGACCUGUGCCCUUAUCCAGGGAGGCUCUUGGAAUCCUUAGGCUUGGCGAUACGAGUGAGCAGCCACCACCAGGCCUGCAGGGAGCAUGCUUGGAUUUAGCUGCUGCUGAUUUUGUUGGAGAUUAGGAACUGUCUACCCAGAGGACCAGCUCCUGAGCCACUGUGCUCAGCUCUGCAACUUCUGGUUCUCCUCCAAGGGCAGGCUGUUCACAUUAGGCCUGUCUUUGGCCUGGUUUCAUAGGGUAGGUUGGGGUUCUGAGCAUAGCCUGCCCUAGGACCUGGCCUCCUCUCUUACCACAUCUGCACCAAGGACUGGACUUACCUGUCAGGUUGGUGGCAGGGGGAGGAGGGAGGAGAGCACGAAUUUGCCUCCUUGGGUGGGCUGCAGAGUGUGGAAAUGCCUGGGGAUAGAGAGCUCCUCCAGUGCUUAGGGACUGCCUUCUUUUGGAAAUUUGGCGGCCUUGGCCUUGGGCUAGAGGGGGGUGCCCAGCUCUUAGGAGGCUGUAAUUCCUUCCAAGCAUCCGGGUACCAGUAAUCUGCUGGGCUCGCUCAGAGCCAGCUUUGCCACAACCUCCACCACCCCCUGCCAAAGGCAGCCAUUUCUACAUAAAAGUAGGUGAUAGAUCAUGCCUGAGGGCCUGGCAGACCUGAGCCAGACUUCUCUCCUUGCAGGUCCUUCUUCAAUUAAGCUGAAGAACAAAGGGGACGUCUCCUUCUUGAGCAAGCAGGCUGAGGUGAGGGCCUUGGUUCUGACACCACAGCCCGCCCAAGGAGAAGCCCACAUGGGCCUGAGCAGCACAGGUCUCAGUGGCCUUCUUACCUGGGGACGGUCAGCUUCUGCCCAUCACGGGCAGCCAUGGGUUUCUGCCCCGGCCCCAGAGCAGUCUUGUUCCCAGACCAGACACACUCCGUGGUUCUGGGUGCACAGAGAGGGCCCUGGAGGAGAUGUCUGGGAUCAUAGACUCUGGGGCCAUGACUGGGUACUCUGUGAUCCCUGUUGAGGCUCUGUCGGGUGUCACUCCAUCUUACCAGAGUAUGAAAGCCCAGCAGAAGCCUCAUCCCAUGAGACACCUCGUACACCACCCCAAGAUAGAGUCCAAGCGGAAGGGCUCGUUGAAGAGUGAGAAGAUUGUCCGCCAGCUCCUGGGCGAGCUCUACGUGGACAAGGAGUAUCUGGAGAAGCUCCUUUUGGAUGAAGGUUUCAGACACUUUGUUUGCGACAGGGAACUUGGGGCAGAAGAAAUCUGGGACGGGUGCUUAAUGCACGAGCGGGAGACAGAGCCUGUCGUGUAACAUGAGCCGAUAUGCUCCUAUGGACAGGUUUUCCUAGCGUUCUCAUUUACAGAUGAGGAAACUCAGGUGCAGAAAGGUUAAGUAACUCACCUAAGGUGGCGCAUAGGUAAACAGUGGACUUGAAUCUUAAGACGUCCCAUUUCAGAACCAGUGCUCUUGGCAUUAUGGUGCCCUGCGAGGGAACACCAGAGAUGUGGGUCCUUGGAGGGGCAUCCUCUGAGCCUUCAAUUUGUACAACGGGCAAAGGAAUCUAGCUGGGACUUGCUGGGGGGAAUCCUACGAUACUAGUACUCGAAUGUUCUGAAACCUCAUCUGGUCUAAUCCCCCCUUUUAUAGAUAAGGAAAGAGAGACCCUGAAUGGGGAGUAACUUGUCCAAGGUGACAAGCAAGUUCAUGGCAAAGUUGGCACCAGAGGCCGGCCUCCUAACCUCAGGUCCAGCGCUCUUUCCACCAUACUGUGCUGGCGGUGGCAGAAAAUAGGGCAGAGCCUUGAAAUGAAAUGGGAGGGUGGGAGUCUUGCCGUUAGCUGAUAAACCUAAGCAGGAUUCAUCCUUGAAUCAAAUGCCUUUUCUCCAGAACUGACUUCCUGAGGGCAUCUGCAGAACGCCCUGCAGGUCUGUGUCUCGAGCAGCUUCACUGCUGGCCCAUCUCUGAAAGAGGCCUGAAAACUUCCUUCCCUCCAGAGGAUCUUCUGUGGAGGAAGGGGUAGCCUGAAAUUUAUCCCCAAGAAGCCCUGCAGUUUUGCUACCAGCUCUAACCUCGGAUCAGGCAGGCGGGCAGAGCCUGGGCACGCCCCCACUCCCCCACCCCGGCUCCCAGCUUGCACUGACCCACUGGCACCUGGGGAAUCACUUGGCACUCGUAACCUGGACCAGGUUGUGCAUUCAUACUUAGUCUUCUCAGAGGACACAACCUGAAAUAAGGGAGCCCUGCGGGUUGGGGUCCUUUCAGAAAGCUAUCCGCCAGCUGCCCCUUCUGCUAGCUCCUUCUAUCUUGCCAUAAGAGGCCUGUGCACUGAAUUCGGCACCCUGGGAGUGCCUGGAAAGGGGGCUCUGGCCUCACCUGGGUCCACAUAGAGCUACUCUGUCACCUAUGUGCCCUUGCUUUCUCCAACUCAAAGCAGAGAGCCCCACAGGGGCCCCCGCAGCAAGGAUCCCCAGCCAAGAGGAGGUAGCUCCCUUACAUGCCCAUUCUAGUUGGUUUCUCCUCACACCCUUCUCCCCAGACCUGAUCAAAGGCACCAUCAAGCACGGCCUGACCGUGGAGGACCUCAUCAUGACAGGCAUCAACUACCUGGACACCCGCAGUAAUUUCUGGAGACAGCAGAAGCCCAUCUAUGCCAGGGAGCGGGACCGGAAGCUGAUGCAAGAGAAAUGGCUGCGAGACCGCAAACGGCAGCCCUCACAGACAGCCCGCUACAUCCUCAAGAGCCUCGAGGACAUUGACAUGUGUGGGUAGUGUUCUUGGAAGGGCGAGGCCUUCGCCAGGCGGUGGAAUGCAGCACUGUGGCCUGAGACCCUGGUUUCGCUGGCCUGUGGAUGGUAUCCCCUGUGGGGAGGUGGGUUCUCCCCUCAGCCUGAGGAGGCUGCUCCCGCCUCCAUGUCCCCUGUUCCCCUUCCUAGUGCUGAGCAGCGGCAAUGCUGAAGGGAGCCUUCAGAAGGCUGAGAAGGUGCUGAAGAAGGUGCUGGAAUGGAACAAAGAGGAGGUGCCCAACAAGGAUGAGCUGCUUGGAAACUUGUACAGCUGCAUAGGGAACGCCCAGAUUGAGCUGGGGCAGAUGGUCGCAGCCCUGCAGAGCCACCGGAAGGACCUGGAGAUUGCCAAGGAACAGUGAGUGUCCAGGAAAAGCUGAGCAGCUGAGGCCCGUGGGCCUGCAGACGAGGGGGGCAGGGGCGGUGCCUGGCCUUUUGCCAGGACUGCUGGCGGGUGAACUCCUAGGACCGAGGCUAAGAGGCGGACCUAGACUGUCAGCUUUUUUGCCACAAAGAGGAAGGAAGUGGCCCCAAUGCCAGAAAGCUCCCAGAGGUUUGGCUCUGAGGGGUAUUUUUAUUCUUUAUUUUUUUAAGUUUUUAUUUAUUUAUUUUGAGAGAGAGAGAGAGAGAGAGAAUGAAUCCCAAGCAGGCUCCACACUGUCAGUGCAGAGCCAGACUCGGGGCUCUAUCUCACAAACUGCAAGAUCAUGACCUGAGCCGAAAUCAAGAGUGGGUGGCUUAACCGACUGAGCCACCCAGGUGCCCCAAGGGUAUUUCUGUUCUUAAAUCAUCUCAAGAAGCGUAUAUCAACCCCAGACUUGCCACAUGUUGCUAGCAUUAAGAACACAGCAGUGACCCAAAAUAAGGGUCAUCUCCCUGCAGAUGUAAAACAAAAAAAUGACAUAGCUAAUAAAUGGUAAUUGUGAGACGUGUCACAAAGGAGAAGUACAGGACCCAGUGCUAUGAGGAGUAUAUUCCAGGAGGAUAGGACUGGGCCCUGGGGAGCACACUUGGUCUAUGGGAGGACCCUGAAGGAGGCCGAUGGAAGCUUGAUGCUGGAGAGCACAGAGUAUUGCCAGGGGAAGAGUGACCAAGAGGAAGCCAGGCCAAAUGGCAGGGGUCAGAUCGAACAGGGUCUUGGAAACUAUGGUGCUGACCAAGAGCACGGGGCUCUAGAGUCCACCUCACCUGGGCUUUGGAAUUGUACCUCGCAGGCAAAACCGCAGCCUUGGGGCCUUAGGCAAGGGACUUCCCCUGUCCCAGCUGGGUGUCCUCUGUCAAUGGGCAUAACAGUAGCCCCUUCCUGAUAGGGGGGAAGGAAGAAACCACGCAGAAGUCCAUGUAAAGAUCUCAGGACAGUGCCAGGUAUCCAUAAUAGUAUGAAUACCAGCUAUCAGCUCUUCCCAAGACUUGAGGGUCCCUCUCAAGGUGCCAUCAGUUUCCAGUCAUCCUGAAUCUAACCUGUAGAGCCCUCCAUGACGUUCCCCUGCUCGGUUCCCAUUUGUCCACAGUCUGAGCCUCCCUCCCACCUCCCAUUAUCCAUUUCCGGUCACAGAUCAGGGGCUCGGCUGUCUCUGCCUCCAGCUGCUCCCACACCUCACCUCCAGCGACCUGCAUUUCAUCCCCCAACCCUUCUAACCCUGUUGACACACUGGCCUUGGCCCCUUGUUGUCUGCGGGUUCAAACCACCUGCCUUCACUUGGCACCCAAGGCCUCUUGUGAACCCACUUCUGCACAGCGCUCCCUGUCACUCCUCCAUUUGGGUCAAACCCUAUUUCUUCUUCUUCUUUUUCUUCUUCUUCUUCUUCUUCUUCUUCUUCUUCUUCUUCUUAAAAAAUCUUUUAAUGUUUAUUUAUUUUUGAAAGAGAGAGAGAGAGAAAGAGAGAAAGACAGAGUGCAAGUGGGGGAGGGGCAGAGAAAGAGGGAGACCCAGAAUCUGACGCAGGCUCCAGGCUCUGAGCUGUCAGAACAGAGCCCGAUGCGGGGCCCACAAACCACGAGACCAUGACCUGAACCGUAGUUGGGCGCUCAACCGACUGAGCCACCCUGGCGCCCCUGGGUCAAACCAUAUUCCUUGAAGGCUCCUGCCUCCCACCCUCUCCUCACUCACCGGAGCCCCAUGUACUAUUCGUUCCCAGUUCAUCUCUCACUGGCCUUUGCGUACUGAGCAGAAGUAUCCCAUAGCAGCUGUUCUGGAAGUAGAAAACAACCCAGCAGCUUUGGAGACACGGCCGGGUUUGAUUCCCAGGUUUGAUUCCCGGCUCUGGCACUCUGAGGCUGUGUGGAUUUGAUUAAGUUGCUCAUCUCCUCGGUUUGCUCAUCUCUGAUGAAGGCAUAAUAAUACCGACUCAGGGACUAUGAGGAUGAAAUGAGAUAUGUGUUGACAGUGCCGUGAAUCCAGCUGUCUCCCAGGCCCUGAGGACUUACUUAUUACCUUUGCUUCUCACCACCCCUCCCUCCCGAGCCCCAGGUCCGCAUAGCCAACCGAAUCCCAGGCAUUUUCACUUGGGUGUCCCACAGGAAUCCCAAAUUUAACAUGUCCAAAGUGGAACCCCUUAUCUUCCUCCCCAACCUCUUGCUCCAGGGUUCUCUGUCUGCGGGGAUGGCUCUCUUGGCCACUCAGUCCCCAAGAAGGAGCCCAGGCAGCUUCUCAGAUUCCUCCCUCCCUUCCGUGCUCAUGCCCAGCCAGCCUACGUCUUGUCUGGGCCUCCUCCUUCCUGUCUCCUCGGUGUUUUUCCAUUUCCCUCCCACAGCUCAGUCCAGACCCUCCUCAUUUCUAGACUGAUUCCUCCAUCCUGGGUUUCCUGGAGCCCACCUGGCCCUUCUGUGCAAAACAAGUCCAGUCGUGGGUCGGGAUGAAGUUCCAGCUCCCAGUUCUGCUCAGCGUGGUCUGCCCUUCCUGACCUGACUUGUCCUGGCCUCAAUUGACCUAGUUCUCUCCAGGCCCCUGGGCGUCUUGGGCCUCAGCCAGCACCUUGUGGCUCUGUUCCUGCAGCCCCUAAAGAGGACUUCCUUCUCUCUAGCCAGCACUUUCUUUAUCAGCUCCCUCCUUCCCAUCCUUCAAAUUUUGUUUAUUUAAGACAAUUUUUUCAAGUUUAUUUGUUUUGAGAGACAGCGAGCAUGAGUGAGGGAGGGAGAGAGAGAAUCAGAAGCAGGCUUCAUGCACUGUCACUGUGGAGCCCAAUGUGGGGCUUGAUCACGAACCGCGAGAUCAUGACCUGAGCUGAAAUCAGGAGUCCACUGCUUAACCAACUGAGCCACUCAGGCACAGGCACCACCACCCCCUUCAAAUUUUAAAUGUGUGUCCCCUGGGUGAUAUAGAAAUCCCCCUUUAAUGUUCCCUCUGCACACUCCAUGUGGAUCUUGGCUCCCCUUGGACUUUGGAAGGGACUAUCAUAUAUCCCUUUCCCUUUCCAGCAGCUGCCACUUAGUGGGCAUGUGAUAAAUGCACGCCAAGUGGCUAAGCAAAUAGAGGUGUUCUUUUGAUAACGUUAGGCCCUUUUUAACACCCAUGAAGGGGCCUCCAGUCUUGUUUGUGAGUUCAGGUCCUCCCUCGUUGUAAUCAGCAAUGCUCCACAUGUGCCUCCCACCUCCAGAGCCUGCCAGCCCUCAUUUCUCCCUUCAGACACUCUAGAUUGCAUGCUUUAUCAUUGCUAUUAUUUCUUGUUACACGGUAUUAUGAAUAAGUUAGCAUUCAUUCAUUCAUUCAUUCAUUCAUCACACCAUAGCAGAGCACCCUCUCUAGAAGGGGGAGGCUGCCAUCGGGGGUGCCAUCAGAGCAGCAGGUGCACAAUGUGGGUGAAGGUCCAAGGAGAGGCAGGUGGGAGCACUGGCGGGAGCUGAGGGGGCCUCGGAGAGGACAGGUCAACCAAGUGGACCAGCGGAGAGGGAGGAGGGCACCCUAGGCGGAGAGAGAGAAGCAGCAGGGGUGGAAGCUGCGGGGGGUGGGGCAGGACCUAUGGGGAGUGGCAGUCUAGAUCCCAUGCUGAAGAGGACUGAGGGCCGAGUCUGUUUUUACACAAGUACUAGUGUGAGUGUGGUACUUGGUCCAGAGCUCUGUGGCACGGAGAGCAGAACUUGGAAGUCCCCCCCUCCUCCCCCACCUCCCAGGACCACACCCCCCUCACUUCCCUGGGGUCAUGUAGACAUGUGGCCUUCUGGCCCCUUUGCAAUAUAUUUACCUGUGUAUUUCUGUACAUAAGCACAUACCUAGGAUUCUCAAAACAAAAGCAACUCGUUUUUGUGGUUUUUAAAAAGCAUGUGCCUUGGAAAGGGUCUCGUCCUUUAAAUGGCUCCAGAGAAAGGAAUUUCAGCACACAACGUACUUUCUUGCACUGUGUCCCUGUGGGCAGACAUGCAGGAUGUUCCAUUUUUGUCAUCAUGCACAGCAAUACAGUGCAACUCGGUGCUUGUGUGUGCAUGUUUCUGUGGCGAGAGCAAUGGCCUGAUGAGAUGUGCAUGUUUGAAAGGCAGGCUCUGUUCACACUGGGGAGAAUGAGUCCAAGGUGCCAAGUUGCAUGGGGGACACAGGAGCCCGCUGGAUGGCAGGGCCUUGGGUGAGGACAAGGGAAAGAGUGGGAGGAGAUGCUGGGGGUGACGGGAGCAUUGGAGGAGGGUUUUCUUAUUUUCUUUGUUGGGGAGGAAGUUUUUGACAGAUCAGAGUGUUCGUAUGGUGGUGAUGGUAAAGAACCAAUGUAAGGGGAACAAUUGUGUUUUUCUUUAUGGAAAUAUCUUACUCUAUUUUCUGUUGUUACAGGAAUACUGUACACAAUUUAAACAAUAUGGAUAAAUAAAUAGUUUUCCUCAUAGUCUCAUUUCCCCUGGGUAAUCACUGUUAAUAGUUAGACUUACAUCCUCUCAACUUCUUUUUUUUAUUAAAAAAAAUAAUUUUUUUUAAUGUUUAUUUAUUUAUUUUUAUUUUUUUUUUUUAAUUUUUUUUUCCACGUUUAUUUAUUUUUGGGACAGAGAGAGACAGAGCAUGAACGGGGGAGGGGCAGAGAGAGAGGGAGACACAGAAUCAGAAGCAGGCUCCAGGUUCUGAGCUGUCGGCACAGAGCCCGACGCGGGGCUCAAACUCACGGACCGAGAGAUCACGACCUGAGCCGAAGUCGGACCCUUAACCGACUGAGCCACCCAGGCACCCACCUCUCAACUUCUUUUAAAAAUGCCCAUUAAAAAAUUUUUUUUAAUGUUUAUUUAUUUUUGAGAGAGAGAGAGAGAGAAUAAAGGAUGGGCAGAGAGAGAAGGAGACACAAAAUCCAAAGCAAGCUCCAGGCUCUGAGCUGUCAGCACAGAGCCCCACAUCGGGGCUGUCACUGUCAGCACAGAGCCUGAUGUGGGGCUCGAACCCACGAACCAUGAGAUCAUGACCUGAGCCGAAGUCAGACGCUUAACCAACUGAGCCACCCAGGUGCUCAUUUUAGGUGCCAAAAAAUGGGCACCUGGGUGGCUCAGUCCAUGGAGCAUGCAACUCUUGAUCUUGGGGUUGAGUUCAAGUCCCACGUUGGGUGUAGAGAUAGCUUGAAAAUAAAAUCUUUAGGGGUGCCUGGGUGACUCAGUCGGUUAAGUAUCCGGCUCUGGAUUUCAGCUCAGGUCCUGAUCUCACAGUUCAUGAGUUUGACCCCCACAUCGGGCUCUGUGCUGACAGUGUGGAGCCUGCUUGGGAUUCUCUCCCUCUCCCUGUCUCUGUCCCUCCCACGCAUGCUUGUGCUCUUUCUUUCUCUCUCUCUCUCUCUCUCUCUCUCUCAAAGUAAAUAAAUAAACCUUAUUAAAAAAAAAGAGAAAAUCUUUUAAAAAAUGCCCACUUUUUAUUCAUUCACUUCUUUUUUGGUGAGUGAAAAUAACACACGCUCAUUCUCUUACAGAUCUGAAGGGUAGAGUCGUAAGCCAUUGUCACUGGACCAGAACCAAUGUGUUGGCAGGGCUGUGCUCCCUUUAUAGGCUCUAGGGAGAAUCUGUUUCCAGCCUUUUCCACCUUCUACACUUGUACUCCGUGCAUUGAGCGUAACUCAUCCAUGGCUCCUUCCUCCAUCGUCAGGCCAGGGGCACAGCAUCGUGCCUCAGGCCUGCAUGUUUAUUUUUGGCACAAACAGGGCAAUAGACCUAGUCUAUGCUCCUAUAAUCUGACUUUUUUUUUUAGGUUUAUUUAUUUAGUUUGAGAGCAAGACAGAGCAAGCAGGGGAGGAGCAGAGAGAAAGAGAGAGAGAGAAGAGAGAGAAUCCCAAGCAGGCUCCAUGCUGCCAGCAUGGAGCCUGACUCUGGGCUCGAACUCACAAACUGUGAGAUUCAUGACCUGAGCCGAAAUCAAGAGUCAGAUGCUUAACCGACUGAGCCACCCAGGUGCCCCUAUAAUCUGGCUUUUUAACUUAAUAUGUGAGGGACUUUUUUUUUUUUAUACACAAAAAUUGCCAGCACUAGGGCACUGGUUUAGAUUGUUUCUGAUGUUUACCAUUAUAAAGAGUGCUUUAAAGAAUGCCCUUCUCCAGGUAAAUUCCUAGAAGGGAAAUUGCUGCAUCAAAGGACAUGUGGUAAGCUCUUGAGUGAUUAUUCUCUGGAAAGAUCCCAAAGGUGUUCAUUCAUGGCCACAGAGCCCAAGAGGGCCUAUGUGCCACAGCCUCGCCUCCUGGAUAUCAUCCCUCCAACCCACCCUACCCGAGUCCUGGAGGCCAGAGGCCCUGUCUUUGCUUCUUUUCAAUUCCUACAGCUCGAAGAAUGGCCAACUUCUAGUGAACAACUUAUUCUGCUUCUUCCCCACAGUGACCUUCCUGAUGCUAAGUCAAGAGCCCUUGACAACAUCGGCAGAGUUUUUGCCAGAGUUGGGAAAUUCCAGCAAGCCAUCGACACGUGAGUGCUCAGGGCUGUCCCUGCCCCACCCUCGGGCCAGGAUUCCCCACUUCCCACCAGACUCCCAGCCAGGGGCCAGCAUGCCAGGCAAAGAGGCAUCAGAAGACCCAAGUUUGGCUCCAGGCUCUGCUAGGUGACCAGGGGCAAGCCGUUUUGUAAGCUCUGAGGCUCAUUUGUUAAUUGGCUGGAAUCAGCAUCUUCUCAAAAUUUCCCAGUGACAAGAAUCCCCUGCAGUACAGGUAUACGAACACCUGUCUCUGCACUGGAAAUUCUGAUUCUACCAGUCUGGGUGGGAGCCCAAGAACCUGGUUUUAACAAAGCCCUCCAGAUGGUUCUCACCUUGGGCAAGUUCAGGAACUGCCUGACCUUGGGGAUCUCUUCUGAGGCUCUUCUGUGACUCUGGGAAGUCAACAUGGACUCGCUGGGAAGGGAGGCUGAGUUCUCCAGGUGACCCAAUCACUGAAGUGUUGAUGUGCAACCCUGGGUCAACAGUCUGCUCCAAUGGGGCAGCUCAGCGCCGGGGAAACUCCGGAGAGAGCCUGGCCCGCCUGGCGACCAGCCUGCAUGGAGAGGUUCCACGGGCCCAUUCGCUUACCCCUGAGAGCAGCUGUCCUACCGGUGCUCAGUGCUGGAUCGAAAUAGACUCGUUCACCAGGACCCUGUGCUCCAGGCAACUUGGUUUCCUGAAUGGCCCCUGGUGUCUAUGUGCCAAAAGAUGGAGGAGUUUGAGAGUUCACCCACCCAUGUGCAUCUUUUUAUAAGAAAAUGUUUUAGGAGCUCCUGGGUGGCUCAGUGCGUUAAGUAUCAGACUCUUGGUCUCAGCUCAGGUCAUGAUCUCACGGUCAUGAGUUCAUACCCUGCAUUGGGCUCUACACUGGGUGUGAAGCCUACUUUAAAAAAAAAAAAAAGAAAGAAAGAAUAUGUUUUCUAGUAAAUCUGUGCUUAUUGCUAAAAUAUUAAUUUGGAAAAUAUGGAAAAGUAGCAGAAAAACUACUCAAUCUCACCCCCCCGAAGACAAUGAUUAACUCUAAUCUUGCUCUUACUUUAUUGAGGUCUCGCGUUUUUUUUUUAUUCUAAUAUUUUCUCGGUAUUGAUUUUGUCUUCUGUAUACUUAGUGAGAUUCUUCAAUGUUAUUUUUAUGUUAUUUUUAAAGAUAAAAAAAUUUUUUUUUAUGUUUUAUAUUUGAGAAAGAGAGAGACAGAGACAGAGACAGCCAGCAGGGGAGGUGCAGAGAGAUGGAGAAAGAAUCUGAAGCAGGCUCCAGGCUCCAAGCUGUCAGCACAGAGCCCCAUGUGGGGCUCGAACUCAUGAACUGUGAGAUCAUGACCUGAACUGAAGUCAGAUGCCCAACCGACUGAGCCACCCAGGCACCCCUUAAGAUUUUUAAAAAAUGGUUAUUCAUUUUUGAGAGAGAGAGAGAGAGAGAGAGAGAGAGCGCGCGCGCAUGAGCUGGGGAGGGGCAGAGAAGAGGAAGACACAGAAUCCCAAGCAGGCUCGAGGCUCUGAGCUGUCAGCACAGAGCCUGACGUGGGGCCUUGAGAUUAUGACCUGAGCCGAAGUUGGACACUUAACCCACUGAGCCACCUGGGUGCCCCUAUGUUAUUUGAAACGCAAGUUUGUAAACAUUAUCUCCGAUUGUAUCAGAUUCGAUUCCGUAAAUGUACCAAAAUAGCUCUGUUAGUUUGGAAAUAUCUUAACGCUUAUGGCUCCAUCCCCGUGUCUGAAAGAGCUGGUAGUUGGAGCACAAGUUCUGUUCUGCCCCGGGAAGGAGCCCUGGCCUCCUGUGGCCGAGUAAAGGGUUUGGGUGGAAAGAGCCGACCCUGGUUCUUCGUGUUCCCAGGUGGGAGGAGAAGAUCCCUCUGGCAAAAACCACGCUGGAGAAGACCUGGCUGUUCCACGAGAUUGGCCGCUGCUACUUGGAGCUGGACCAGGCCUGGCAGGCCCAGCAUUACGGCGAGAAGUCCCAGCAGUGUGCUGAGGAAGAAGGGGACAUCGAGUGGCAGCUGAACGCCAGCGUUCUGGUGGCACAGGCACAAGGUAUGGGCACAGAGAGGACUGUCCUACCUUUCCCAGCCCUCAGGGCCCGCUGCCAUGCCAUGGCCAGAAGCUUUACCAUCAAUGUAUCCCUGGCCAGGUUAAUUUUUUUUAAUGUUUAUUUGUUUAAAAAAAAUUUUUUUAAAUGUUUAUUUAUCUUUGAGAGACAGAGAGAGACAGAGCACGAGUGGGGAAGGGGCAGAGAGAGGGAGACACAGAAUCCGAAGCAGGCUCCAGGCUCCAAGCUGUCAGCACAGAGCCCGACUCGGGGCUUAAACUCACAUACCGUGAGAUCAUGACCUGAGCCAAAGUCAGAUGCGCAACUGACUAAGCCACCCAGGUGCCCCUUAGUCUGGCCAGGUUAAUUCUGACUCUGAGGGUGGACGAUAAACCCCUCUGUUUUGCCCAGCGUGCGGUAAGUGCCUUCUUUAAGCUAGGCUCAGAUAGAGCUUGGGGCACCCCGGAAGCUGGCCCUGCUGUCGAAGAGCUCGGCCACAGACCAGCAUAGCACUGUGCCAUUGUCAGAAGAGCGCCACUUCCCCCAGCCCUGGUGCUCUGUGCACAUGCAUUCUAGCACUUACUCACCAUGUGAACCAAUGACGAAGGUGUUAUCUUCCUCAUUUUGCAGACGGUGGGAGGGGUAGGGGUAAACGAGGCGCUGAGUGGUUCAGCAGGUUGCUGAGGGACCUUUACGGAGUAACGGAAAUAUUCUGAAAGUGGGUCAUGGGGAUCAUCCCACGCCUCCAUAAAGUUGCCGAGAAUCACUGAACUGUGUACUUACAAAUGGUGCGCUUUAUAAUAUGAUAGUUACAUCUCAAUGAAGUCAUAAAAAGCAAGCCAGUAGGGGCAGGGGUGAGGAGGAAUAGAUGAAACAAGAUCGGUGGUAGCUUGAUCAUUGUUGAAGCUGGGUGAGUAGUGGGGGCUUAUCAAACUACUCCAUCUACUUCGUGUAUAUUUGAAAUAUUUCAUAACAUGAAGUUGAAAAAGAAAUGGCUGCAGGUCACGGGUUAGGACACAAUGAAGCCGCGACCAGAGCUCAGUGCCCUGCCCCAGGUGAGCAGCUGAUCCGCAGUGAGGAGGGAAAUGCAGCGGGUGCUGUAAUCAAGGGCAUCAUCAUUCACUCACUCGUACUGCAAAUACUUCCUUGGCACCUUCUAGGUGCCAAGUUGGGCAUACAGUAGGGAUGACCACUGGUAACCGUUUCCUGCCUUCAUGUCCAAGGAAGUCACUUUUAAGCAGAAACCUGAAGGAUGAGAAGGCACCAGCUGCUCCGAGAGCUGAGGACAGAGCUUUCCAGCCAAAGGGACAGCAUUUAGAAGCAUUUAGGAGUUCGGCUGAUUUAAAAGGCUGGGGGAGACCAGUUCCAGCUGGAGCCCCUGGGGGCCGGGGGUGGGGGUGAUGAGGGGCAGAUCCACAGGGCCUCAUGGGCCUCAUUUACAAAUCAGAUUCUUCCCUAAAAAUAUGGGUAGAAACUUCCAGUGGAAGCUUUAAGCUGGGGGAAGGUGUGAUGACUGGAGCUUUUUCUAGAACUCUUUCCUUUUCUUAGGAGGUCAUGGUAUAAGCUCAAGGGGAAAUGCAGUGUACCCGUCAGAGCUGACAUUGCCCUGAGUCGACUCUCGACUCUCGACUCAAUUGCCCCCAAGGGCCGCUGGGCCCCUCUCAGCUUCCCCUCUCUGGGAUGGAAAAAAUCAGGUGCAGCCACCUGGGAGCCACCGAGUUCUAGAGGCCAUGCAGCCCUGCGGGCAGAGCUUGGGCUUUGGGCAUUCCAGGCUCAGAACCUUGGGGAGUUGGCCAGUCAGUCAGGGACUGGGUUCCAGCUCCAGCACUAACGAGCUGGGUGAGUGAGCUCAGACAGCGCCACUUCCUCUCUGGGUUCAGAUCGAGCAGGUGCAGGGGCUGGACUCCAGCUGCUGGCCCAUGGGUCGCAUCCAGCCUUUUGAUAUUUCUGUGGCCUUCGCAGCGUUUUUGCGCAAUUUGAAUGAACAUUUUUAAAAUACGGAUUGCCACUUCUGGAACAAUCUUAAGUUGGGAGAAGAUGGGGUUGUCCCACUGCCCUGGAGUUUCCUCUUUGACCUCUCUGAAUGGCCUGCUGUCCAAGACUCAGGCUCCUGGGUUCUGGUCCUUAGUGGUGAGAUGGUCCAGGAAGGUGACGGAAAGGGUGGUGCUGGCCAGUGAUGCUGCCUGAGGCCUGGGGCUUCUCACUGACCCCGGAAGCAGCCAGGCAGCCGCAUUGUGCAACAUGCAGUGUCACAAUCUACCUGUGCCGUGCCUCCUCCCUGCUUUCCAGUCAAGCUGAGAGACUUCGAGUCGGCCGUGAGCAACUUUGAGAAGGCCCUGGAGAGAGCGAAGCUGGUUCAUAACAACGAGGCGCAGCAAGCCAUCAUCAGCG